ACAAGCGGUGGAUUAUGUUGUUUAAUUCGACGCAACGCGAAGAACCUUACCAGGCCUUGACAUACUCGGCAAAGCUCUAGAGAUAGAGUGGAGGUUAUCCGGGAUACAGGUGGUGCAUGGUUGUCGUCAGCUCGUGUCGUGAGAUGUUGGGUUAAGUCCCGCAACGAGCGCAACCCUUGUCUUUAGUUACCAUCAUUCAGUUGGGGACUCUAGAGAGACUGCCGGUGAUAAACCGGAGGAAGUGGGGAUGACGUCAAAUCAUCAUGCCCCUUAUGGCCUGGGCUACAAACGUAAUACAAUGGCGUAUACAAAGGGAUGCGAAAGGGCGACCUGGAGCAAAACUCACAAAGUACGUCUCAGUUCAGAUUGGAGUCUGCAACUCGACUCCAUGAAGGCGGAAUCGCUAGUAAUCGCGGAUCAGCAUGCCGCGGUGAAUACGUUCUCGGGGUUU
Molecule: ribosomal RNA, 451 nt
Filed under: uncultured Erysipelothrix sp.
Lineage: Bacteria; Bacillati; Bacillota; Erysipelotrichia; Erysipelotrichales; Erysipelotrichaceae
Description: bacterial SSU rRNA
Rfam family: Bacterial small subunit ribosomal RNA
Source: RNAcentral